Microcebus murinus (gray mouse lemur) is the source of this 779-nucleotide non-coding RNA. The record is from RefSeq and is a predicted model, not a curated record. Lineage: Eukaryota; Metazoa; Chordata; Mammalia; Primates; Cheirogaleidae.
GUCUCUGUCCUGCAGUGCAGAGGGAACGUGUCACAGGCCCUGUCCCGCAGUGCAGAGGGGACAUGUCAUAGUCCCUGUCCUGCAGCGCAGAGGGGACGUGUCACAGGCCCUGUCCCGCAGUGCAGAGGGGACAAUGGCCCGUGACACGUCCCCUCUGCCCUGCAGGACAGCAGCCCAUGACACACUACACACACACACCACCGCCACACACACUACACACACACACACACACACCACCCGCGUUGACUCAGCCAUCCCUCUCCUGAGUGAAACUCCGCCCGAUAUUGGAGACCAGCCUUUGCAAAGACAGGCAUGGCAGCGGGAUUGUCAUAGCGACUGACCAGGAGUGACCCGAAGGGCCACCAGCAGAGACCGGGAUGCAGCACGGGCAUGUUCCCAGGGGCAGCGAUGCCCUGAACCGCCGCCUCCGUGGCUGGCGGACGGGGCGGCCCCUGGCGUGAGUGGGCCGGGCUGAGUUUCACCCGGUCUGACCUUGCAGGAGACGUUUCUGCAGGAAGCGAGGUGGGGAACGGGGCAGCCCCUGCUUACGUCUUGAGGCGGGACUCCCUUGAGACCUCGUAUGUGACGCCCUUAAUUAAGCACAGCAAGCGCGGACAGACGGGGGAUGCCAUCCACGGGGCGAGGGGUGGCGCUGUCGUUGCUACUGGAGCCAGGCGCUAAGGCCACCGUCUGGGGACUAGAGGGCCCAUGCGAGGUGGCCGUGAGCUUCCCGAGGAGGUCAAGAUCGGGCAGACGACAGGCCGAUCCCGGGGUUGAGA